This 463-nucleotide ribosomal RNA is filed under the name uncultured bacterium. Its description in RNAcentral is "partial 16S ribosomal RNA". It matches the Rfam family "Bacterial small subunit ribosomal RNA", at positions 28 to 507 of the family's 1533-position model. The record is from RNAcentral.
GAUGAACGCUGACAGAAUGCUUAACACAUGCAAGUCUUUGGCGAAGCUGUGCUUGCACAGCCUAGCCAAGGCGGACGGGUGAGUAACGCGUAAGGAACUUGCCCUGCAGUCAGGGAUAACAGACGGAAACGACUGAUAAGACCUGGUAAAGUCAGGCGGACUCAUGUCCAGCCUGAUGAAAAGUGAUGCUGCAGGAGAGCCUUGCGUCCUAUUAGCUUGUUGGUGGGGUAACGGCCCACCAAGGCGAUGAUAGGUAGCCGGCCUGAGAGGGUGGACGGCCACAAGGGGACUGAGAUACGGCCCUUACUCCUACGGGAGGCAGCAGUGGGGAAUAUUGGACGAUGGGGGCAACCCUGAUCCAGCAAUUCUGUGUGCACGAUGAAGGUUUUCGGAUUGUAAAGUGCUUUCAGCAGGGAAGAAAAAAAUGACGGUACCUGCAGAAGAAGCGACGGCUAAAUACGUG